GGUUGUGAGAGCCAUCUUACUGAAACAUCUGUCACCCCACUGAUCUCCAGGGCUGAUCUGGCUGAUCUGGCUGUCUAGGCAGGUUUCCAUUUCCUACUUCACCACUCCAUGUGCGUUCCUCCAGGAGCUGCAAGCUGGGUUGAAGGGGAGGACCACCCUGACACAAACACCCACCACAGAAGAGGACCUCUUCCUCCAUUGAGUUAUAGUAGUAACUGCACUCCUUGGCUAGAACCUCCAAACAAGAUCUCAAGAUGUGCUGUCUCCUCUGCUCAAAUGUCAGAGCAGAGAAGCUUUUUUUGACCACUCAGAACUACCACCAUUU
RNAcentral lists this small nuclear RNA (325 nucleotides) under Chinchilla lanigera (long-tailed chinchilla). RNAcentral describes it as "7SK RNA (ENSCLAG00000021694.1)". It matches the Rfam family "7SK RNA". Rfam says of the family: 7SK was discovered as an abundant small nuclear RNA in the mid-70s but a possible function has only recently been suggested. The record is from Rfam by way of RNAcentral. Lineage: Eukaryota; Metazoa; Chordata; Mammalia; Rodentia; Chinchillidae.